RNAcentral lists this ribosomal RNA (253 nucleotides) under uncultured bacterium. Its description in RNAcentral is "partial 16S ribosomal RNA". It matches the Rfam family "Bacterial small subunit ribosomal RNA", at positions 524 to 776 of the family's 1533-position model. The record is from RNAcentral.
UACAGAGGGUGCGAGCGUUAAUCGGAAUUACUGGGCGUAAAGGGCGCGUAGGCGGCCCUGUAAGUCGGGCGUGAAAUCCCCAGGCUCAACCUGGGAACUGCACUCGAAACUGCGUUUCUUGAGUAUCGGAGAGGAAAGCGGAAUUCCUGGUGUAGAGGUGAAAUUCGUAGAUAUCAGGAGGAACACCAGUGGCGAAGGCGGCUUUCUGGACGGUAACUGACGCUGAGGCGCGAAAGCGUGGGGAGCAAACAGG